Mauremys reevesii (Reeves's turtle) is the source of this 2707-nucleotide long non-coding RNA. RefSeq lists it as uncharacterized. The transcript is spliced from 2 exons. NCBI's taxonomy places the organism in Eukaryota, Metazoa, Chordata, Testudines, Geoemydidae. The record is from RefSeq and is a predicted model, not a curated record.
AGUCUCACCCACCCCCUGCGGCCCCGGGCGGGGGGCCGAGGACCUGGUGCAGCUGCGCUCAGCGGCAGGGCUGGGAUGUGCGGGGCAAUGCAGAGCCCCGCCGGCUCCCGCCUCCCGGGCUAUUGCGCUGCACUCCCAGUCCCCGCGGGGCACGGGCGGCAGGGCUGCGGCUUGUCCCUCGCCAGCUCCGUCGCUAUCCCAUGGUCCCGGCGAGCCCGGAGCCCCGGCGAGUAGCCUCCCGGCGCCGCCGCCGCAGUUCCCGGCUGCCCAUCGCGCCAGCCCAGGCUCUGGUGGCGGCUCUGCGAACCGCACUCGCAGCCGUUGCAGGAAGGGGAGGGGACGCUGCGAUUGACAAGCCAAGCGGGCCUCUUAAAGGGGAAGCGCUGCUUGACUUUGCGGGGAGGCUCCUCUCCGCCAGGGUCAGUCCCUGCAGGAGCGGGGCGGGCUCCCAGGGCAGGAGAACCUCUCACGGUAACACACCCGCCUUCCGCAGCGGCAACUCGGCCGGGGCUGCCCCCUGUGACACAUGCAAGCACGUACACGGGGGAUACUCACAGCUAAACACACACACAACCUCAUCCCCACAGAUGCACACACCCCGCAAAUUUGCUCAGACAUGGACACACACAGAGAAGCUGGUACUACUCGGAUCUGCAUUUGAGCACACACAAUGUGUGACCUCUGCACAAGAGCUGGAAAGAGAGAGAAUUUCCACUCAGGAUCCUCAGGUGAAUGAAGAUUUCUGUAUUUCCUGGAAUGAGUAAAAGCCUGCAAGGAGACAGAGGUGAAUAAAUCUAUUCCCAUUAUCUCGAAUGAACUCUGGGUGUAGCUCAGAGAGGAGAAAAACCCACACUGGAUUGUAGAGCACAUCUGAAAUGGACUCUGAUCACAACCCACUAAAGGAAUGAGCAAGGUGACUGAAAUAUUAUUUUUCUCUCAUCUAAUUCAUCGUGGUUCUGCCCACGAUGUUAUUACACUCAACUUUCCCUUAUCUUUCCCAUAUCUAGCAUGGGAGUAGUUGGGCAGACAGAAUGAUGAACAGAACAAUGUAUCCCAACAGCUGCAUGCCAGUUUUUAGUAACAUAGCAUUGAAAGGAUAUACAACUCAUUACAAGAGGAAAACUGCACUCAAGUCAUUCCCUCAAAUAACUUACAAUCUAAGGGCACAAAUUAGCAGAAAACUGACACACAGCAGUAGCACUUUUCUCAUGUGACCAAGUGAUCUAUGUAGCACUCACUCAAAGAUUAAAGUCUCUUCCCUAACCUCCUGCUCCAGAAAAGAGAAAGACAUGAAGGCAAAGGACUAAUGUGGUUGUAACCACCCUGUGAAACUUGAAGUAGGUCCCAUGUUUGUUCCCUAGCUCCCAGCCCUGCAGAGACUGGGAGUGUCAUGAGGGCAGCACACUCAGCCCCUGUUUGAGGGAGUCCCUCCAACAACUGCUCCUGAUGAACUACCAGGAGGAGAGGUUAGUGUAGCAAGGACCCUGGGAUGCAGGGGAGUAAGAACUGAAGGGACCCAGGGUUCUGAGAGGGGCAUGAAGAACCCUCCUGUUUGUAGGGAUAAAGAGAAAUGAAGGCCAAAACUGAGAAGACAUGGGAUGAAGAUGAUGAGGGAAGAAACGUGUGAUGAAGAAGGUAAAGAAAGAGCUAGAAAAAGUAGGAAGCACUGUGUGCAGAAAAGCCAGUAAGGUUCUGACCUUGCAGUUCUCAUGCAACUGACAACUGAUUAUUAUAUUGGGAACAAUGCGCCUGUAGGGACAGCAGGCUUGAGUCUUUUAGGUGCUGAGAAAUAACAGGAGAGAUGUGAAUCACAUGACCUACUGGCAAUAGGAAAACUGAGUUUCAAAUAUUCACUCAUAUGGCAAAACUGAUACUAAAAAAUAAAACCAAUUGCUAUUCUAACAGCUCCUGUCCUUAACCUGAAAGCCAAAAACAAUAUCACUUGCCAUAGGGCUGUUUGCUGAAUGGCCUGCGAUCCAUCAUCUACUGCUUUGACUAAAAGACACACAUACUCAUUGUUUAAAAUAACAGGCAAUCAGCACGUUAACUUCAAUUUAUUGAGACAAAAAGAAACAUCCCAUUGGUAUCUGUUCUGAGAAAAAUUACUACACCAGCACCUUAGUUUUGUCUUCGGAUGGCCCCCAAUCACCACCCUUCUCCACACUCCCUCCAGCAAAAUUCUCCAAAAGAGACAGGCAUUGUUGACAAAUUUACUGUGGGGGAUUCACCAGCUAGUUCCAGAGUUAAUAUAUCUAGGAAUGCUACAAACAGCCUGCAUUCAAAACUGAUACAGUUGUCCUCUUUCCUGACGUAUUACUCACUAUAAAAAAGGUUUCUUCAAAGCAACUAGGCUUUUUGUUAGAAUUAAACACACACAACUAAAAUCUAGGCCAGAGACAUGAACAUCUGUCCAAGAAAUUACAAAUGAACAGUGGUGUUUACUUUUCAGAGAGUUGGAACCCUUUCCUUGUGUUCCCCUGUCUAAGCAAUUCAUCAAUAGUAACAUGAUCUGAGUUUCAUUUUUACAGAAUCAAUUAUUAAUAGUGGGCUCUGUGCUCGGGAAAUCUCAAUGGGGCUUUCAGGGCAGGCCUUGCAGCAUCCAUCACUGACUGGGAUGGAUUAGGCUCUUUCCGAAGCUAUUUAUUGUCCUGCUGUUAUAAGUGUGAUUCUUGGAGCUAGAAGAGAAAUAAAAUUGUAGUGAAAUCAA